GAUGAACGCUAGCGGCAGGCCUAACACAUGCAAGUCGAGGGGCAGCACAGAAACAGCAAUGUUUUGGUGGCGAACGGCGGACGGGUGCGUAACGCGUAUGCAACCUACCUUUAACAGGGGGAUAACGGAGAGAAAUUUCCACUAAUACCCCAUAACAUCGAUCAAGGAAACUUGAUUGGUUGAAAACUCCGGUGGUUAAAGAUGGGCAUGCGUUGUAUUAGGUAGUUGGUGAGGUAAUGGCUCACCAGGACUACGAUACAUAGGGGGACUGAGAGGUUAGCCCCCCGCACUGGUACUGAGACACGGACCAGACUCCUACGGGAGGCAGCAGUGAGGAAUAUUGGUCAAUGGGGGCAACCCUGAACCAGCCAUGCCACGUGCAGGAAGACGGCUCUAUGAGUUGUAAACUGCUUUUAAACAGGGAUAAAGCACAGUAUGUAUACUGUGUUGAAGGUACUGUAAGAAUAAGGAUCGGCUAACUCCGUGCCAGCCGCCGCGGUAA
This 502-nucleotide ribosomal RNA is filed under the name uncultured bacterium. RNAcentral describes it as "partial 16S ribosomal RNA". It matches the Rfam family "Bacterial small subunit ribosomal RNA", at positions 28 to 523 of the family's 1533-position model. The record is from RNAcentral.